This 461-nucleotide ribosomal RNA is filed under the name uncultured bacterium. RNAcentral describes it as "partial 16S ribosomal RNA". It matches the Rfam family "Bacterial small subunit ribosomal RNA", at positions 338 to 795 of the family's 1533-position model. The record is from RNAcentral.
CCUACGGGCGGCAGCAGUGAGGAAUAUUGGUCAAUGGGCGCGAGCCUGAACCAGCCAAGUCGCGUGAGGGAAGACGGCCCUACGGGUUGUAAACCUCUUUUGCCGGGGAGCAACGGGCGCCACGUGUGGCGCCACUGAGAGUACCCGGAGAAAAAGCAUCGGCUAACUCCGUGCCAGCAGCCGCGGUAAUACGGAGGAUGCGAGCGUUAUCCGGAUUUAUUGGGUUUAAAGGGUGCGUAGACGGAAGAACAAGUUGGUUGUGAAAUCCCUCGGCUCAACUGAGGAACUGCAACCAAAACUAUUCGCCGUGAGUGUCGGAGAGGAAAGUGGAAUGCCUAGUGUAGCGGUGAAAUGCGUAGAUAUUAGGAGGAACACCAGUGGCGAAGGCGACUUUCUGGACGAUAACUGACGUUGAGGCACGAAAGUGUGGGGAGCAAACAGGAUUAGAUACCCGUGUAGUC